This 4029-nucleotide unclassified non-coding RNA is filed under the name Hevea brasiliensis (rubber tree). Lineage: Eukaryota; Viridiplantae; Streptophyta; Magnoliopsida; Malpighiales; Euphorbiaceae. The record is from RNAcentral.
CUUUUUUUUUUUUUCAGGAAUUUAUAAAAACUGAAUCCAAAAGCUAAGAACGAGAAACCUCAAAACAACUGAAAACUGUGUAUUUACACAUUUAUAACAAAGUUAAAACAUUUUAUGUAUAAAAUAACAGAGUUUGCAGGAAGGGGUACAUUAUACAUACAUUAAAUGGUAGAGAGAUACACAGACAAGUUCUUUUUAUGCCAUUUUCAAGUGAUAAGAGAAGAGGGAAAAUUUUGUGGCAGCGGAAUCAAUCAUCACCACCUUUCUUCUUUUCUUUCAAAGAAUUCACUGGAAAAUUUUGAUUCAGCUUUUCUUUCACCUGCUACUUGCCUUGUUCAGGGUCUUCUUUUAUGCUCAUCUCUACCAUUUGAAAGCCUCCGUCUUCGGUGGCAAUGGUGGAUUGUGAGUCAAGGCCUGACCCGGCUUGUAUUUCUUUAAACAUUGCCAUAACUUGAAUCAUAGUGGGUCGUCUCCAUGGCCGAUCAUCCAAACAAGCACCGGCCACCUCUAAGUGUCGCAAAAGCUCAAUCUUUAGAUUUGGAUCUUCUUUCAUAAGUACUGGAUCAAAAACAUCUGUUAUUUUCAAUUUUGCUUGCUGCUUUACCCACCCAACAAGAUUGUUGUCACCAAAAUCAGCUGAAUCUGUUGGCCUCUUUCCUGUUAGCAACUCCAGCAAAACUACACCAUAACUGUAUACAUCACCUUUGGUAGAACAUCUAAAGCUCUGGUAAUAUUCAGGAGGAACAUAACCAGGCGUGCCAGCCAAUGUGCUAACACUCAAAUGUGUAUCCACUGCAUUCAUGAGCCUUGCCAUUCCAAAAUCAGACACUCUGGCCUCCAAAUUCUCAUCAAGCAAAACAUUGCUUGAUUUCAUGUCCCUGUGAAUGAUAUGUGGCUUGCAAUUAUGAUGAAGAAAAGCCAACCCCCUGGCAGCUCCAAUGGCAAUCUUUCUCCUGGCAGCCCAGUUCCAUAUGAUCCCAGCUUUUUUGGGGUCGCGCAGAACGUCCUCUAAGCUUCCAUACUUCAUGUACUCAUACACCAAUAGCCUCUCUUCUCCAACCUUGCAGUACCCAAGAAGGGGAACAAGGUUCUGGUGCUUGAUUUUCCCAAUGGUUUUCAUUUCAGCAGUGAAUUCCUUAUCACCCUGUCCACUGAUAUGUAUCAGCUUCUUAACGGCUACAACGCUUCCAUCUUUCAGUUGGGCCUUGUACACAUCACCAAAACCUCCGGAGCCUAUAAGGCUGUCAUUGUGGAAGCCAUUUGUUGCUUCAAGAAGAUCUGCAAAAGUGAGAUUCUGCAGGGGCUUCUCAAAGGUCGCAAGGUUGAUGCUCAAAGCUUCACGUGCUCCAGUUAACUUCCAACUAGUAUUAGCUGACCCUGAGUGUGAAUGGUUGCCGAUAUAGAUGUCAAGGACUGAAUCUUUCUUUUUCUUUCUUUUCUUUGCCUCUAUAGCAACUAUGAUCAAAGCAAAGAUGCAGAAAAGUGAGAACAACGACAGUCCCAUUACUACACUCCCUGCUAGAGAUGCUUGUCUCCUAUGAAACUUCUGAUGCUGAGAAUUUGCGCUUGUGUCUGAUCCUGAUCCACAUUUAGGAAGCGGUAUCCCACAGAGGCCUGAAUUAUUGGCAAAGCUGGCUGCUUGAAAUGUUUCAAACUGACCCAUUUCAGGAAUCAUUCCUGUGAGAUCAUUGUUGGACAUAUCAAUCUCUGUAAGCAAUGAAAGGCGAGUCAAGGAUUGUGGAAUCAUCCCUUUCAGCUUAUUGUUGGACAGAUUAAGAAUGUUAAGAUCAUCCAAGUUUCCAAGCUCCUCUGGAAUACCGCCAGAAAUAUUAUUAUGGCCCAAAUUCAAGAUAUAGAGAUAUGCCAUGGUCCCAAUCUCCUUUGGAAUGCUCCCUGACAAUGUGUUGUAUGAAAGAUCAAGAAAGAUCAUUGAACCAUUAUCAUUGAACGUGGGCUGCGUGUGACCUCCAUAUACUCUAGUGAAAUCACAGGGGUCCCUGGUGGAGAUUCUAUCCAAAUUUUCCGGUCUAAUUCCCGCAAACUCUAGCAAAUUGCCUUCUCCAUGGCAUCGCUCACUCUUCUUAUUCUUAAGAUACACGUAUCUCUUUCCGGUGAUAAAAUUUACAGCAACUUUGCCAGACUGUCUGAAUAGCUCAGCUGGGAUUGUGCCAUUCAAGAAAUUAGUAUUAAGAUCCAACCAAAUCAAGCUGCCGCAUUCACCAAGCUCCGGCGGAAUUCUGCCAUAAAAUGAGUUGUUGCUUAGUUUAAGAAUGGAAAGACUCGAAAGCUUUCCAAUUGAUGCAGGAAUCUCACCAAUCAACUGAUUGUUAGACAAUGAGAUCCAGUUCAGCUUUGAGCAGUUGCUUAUAGUAGAGGGAAUAACUCCUGUCAAGUCAUUGAAGUCUAGAAUCAAAGUCUCUAGUGUUUGUAUGUUCAUUAUCUCUGGCGGGAUGUCUCCACGGAGCUGAUUGAACCAUAGCUUCAAAUCGCGAAGCUUAGGGAGCGAACCCAAGCUGGAAGGAAUUGUGCCCGAAAGGUAAUUGAAGCUCAAAUGAAGUGAAGCAAGUCGAGAACAGUUGCUCAGACUAGCAGGAAUAGACCCGGUAAACAAAUUGUUUUGAAGAAACAGUUCUUUCAAGUUGUUACUUGGAUCUUGACACAAACCAGUAGGGAUUGGCCCAGAUAAACUAUUAGAACUCAGAUCUAAGGACUCCAAACUAGUGAGCUUUGAGAAAGAAUCAGGCAAACCACCAUUGAAAUGAUUAUAUGAAAAAUCAAGAUUCUUCAAGCUACUCAUUUUCAAGAGAGUAUCAAUCGGCAAGUCACCAGUGAAGUUGUUGCUAGAUAUAUCAAAAAAUUCCAAUGAAGUGCAAGCAGCAAAACUACUAGGGACAAAACCCGUAAGAUUAUUUGAGGACAGAUCAAGCUGAACGAGACCUGGACAAGCUUCCAUGAUAUGAAGAGGAAUCCUCCCUUGAAAAUUGUUACCAUCAAGAUAAAGAAACUGCAAAUUCCCAGUCGGAAGCACUGGAAUUGGACCCGAAAACUGGUUGCUGGACACAUUCAAGAAGCUGAGCUUAGUACACGCAGCAAUUCCAUGAGCAAGAUCGCCAUAGAACUUAUUGGAAGAGAUAUCAAGAUGCUCCAAAGCCAAACAAUCACCAAAUGAGGGGAUGCUCACGGAGAAAUUAUUUAAAGAAACAUCCAGGAACUUUAGAUUCUUGCAAUCGGAAACGUCAACAUCUCCACUAACUUUAUUUCCCUUCAAAGAAAAGUACAGCAACUCAUUGCAGCCUCCAGAUAAAAUGAAGGGCACCGCGUUUGAACCUGAAAUCUUAUUGAAAGAAAGAUCAAGAGACUCGAAGCUGUGCUUCAACCCACUGGAUUUAUCCUUGAGAGAAAAAUCAAGGGAGUUGUUAGAAAGAUUCAAGUAUUUCAAAGAUUCACACGAACCUAAAUUGGCUAUAUCAGAGAUAGGACCUGAUAGACCAUUUUGGGAUAGAUCUAAGUUGCUCAAAACUGAACUGCACUUAGAUCCAGAAGGGAAAGAAAUGGAGCCAGAAAUGUUGGUUGAUUUCAAAGAAACGCUCUCUAGCUUAUCAAGAGUCAAAAGAAAUGCAGCCACCGUGCGAAAAUCAGUGCUUAAAGGAAUGGAAGAGAGGUUUAGAGAGGAGACUGUGUUUGUUUCUUGGCAUUCUACACCAGCGAAGGUACAUGGGUUUUGGUUAGGAAGCCAGGUUGGGAGGUUAUCUGGGUUGGCUAGAGCGUUCUUAAAGUUGAUAAGAUUUUGUGCGUCUUUGUUUGCUGAGGUAAAAGGUGGUGCUAGUACUGGUGAAGCUUGUAGUCGUAGCUGUAGAGAGAUAAAGGUGAAAGAGAUAAGCAAAAGAGAGAAGUGGGCUUUCAUUUUCUCUUAAUGGGUUUUCAUAGAGAGAGAGAAACAAAGGUGUUUAGAGUUUCAGGGCUGCCAUUAGAGGAAGAGCUCUAAGCUCCCUGUACACUGGUUUUAAAGAGCGAGAGAGAGAGAGAGAG